AGGGUGUAAACGCUGCAGACUUGGUGUUGGAAGUCCUUUGGGGGCAUUCAGUGCCGGAGAGAAGUUGUUAAGUCUGCUACUUGGGGAGUACGUCCGCAAGGAUGAAACUUAAAGGAAUUGGCGGGGGAGCACCGCAACGGGAGGAGCGUGCGGUUUAAUUGGAUUCAACACCGUAAACUCACCAGGGAAGACUGUUACAUGAAGGCCGAGAUGAAGACUCUGCUAGAUUUUUCAGAGAGGUGGUGCAUGGCGUCAGUGACU
Molecule: ribosomal RNA, 261 nt
Filed under: uncultured archaeon
Lineage: Archaea
Description: partial 16S ribosomal RNA
Rfam family: Archaeal small subunit ribosomal RNA
Source: RNAcentral